Long non-coding RNA from Cyprinodon tularosa, 142 nucleotides. RefSeq lists it as uncharacterized. Lineage: Eukaryota; Metazoa; Chordata; Actinopteri; Cyprinodontiformes; Cyprinodontidae. The transcript is spliced from 3 exons. The record is from RefSeq and is a predicted model, not a curated record.
GCAGGUCCAUAUGUAAGCAUGUUAAACAGGCUGCUGUACUGGCCGGACUUCUUUGCAGGUCUGGAAGUGAGGAUGGGGCACACUUUGCUCUGCAGGCUGGGCUUCUUCUUGAUUUGCACACUCUGGAGUGGAUAUGCUAAAG